GGGUAUUUGGAAAUGUUAAUUAUCUGAUCUUUGGCAAUUUUGCCCAGCAGAAUUAAGCUAAUUUUAUGGUUCUAUCUUUAAUUAAUGCAUGACUGAGCAAUGCUUCCUUUAUAGGUCAGUUUCCUGUUUCUUUGUCAUGGAUGGAUGUAUUUAUUGGAAAAUGGGACAAAGUAACUUAAUACAAAGAAAUUUUACAUUUGAUUUUCUAUGCCUUUUAGAUCACCUCUAAUUUAAAGAUUGAUUGCAAA
Molecule: long non-coding RNA, 248 nt
Filed under: Gossypium barbadense (sea-island cotton)
Lineage: Eukaryota; Viridiplantae; Streptophyta; Magnoliopsida; Malvales; Malvaceae
Description: long non-coding RNA (GBAR_LNC023537)
Source: RNAcentral